CGAAUAAAGGCUCUUUGCUUUUGCAUUGGUGUUGGCUCCUUGGUGGUCUUCUGGGAUUCGCGACUUUGGGCACAACAUUUGGGGGCUUGUCCGGGAUCCGAGAGACCCCCAGGACUCCCGACCCAGAGGGCCCUGUGCCAGCUGAAAUAUCCGAAUUUCCUUAUGUCUACUGUCUUGCAGUAAGCUCUCAUCAGAUCUUUAACCAUUGUCAUUUGUAAGGCUUUUGCCAUUUAUAGUCACUGUUUUAUUACUCCUACACUAGUAAAGAACUAGAUUUCAGCAGAACAGGUAUUGGUUACAUAGGAUUAAGUGAACUAAGGAAGAUGGUUUUGUGACUUUUUGUUUCAGAUGUUGCUGAUAAAGUGUUUUAAGCUUUUUCUCUUAAGCUGACAACAGUUUCAUGAAUGACAAUACCUUUAUAAGCAGAAUUGAAACAUUUAUCUUUCUCUCUACCUGACCCCUCAAGAAUUUAAAAGCUUUCAGUAUUUUUAUGUUUCAUGGCAGUAUGUUUAUUUGCAUAUGUUCAAUAAGAACCUGCAUUCCUUGUAAGAGGACCAAUUAAAAAAGCAGGUUAUACUACCAAGGCUUUGACUGGAAUGUCAUACCUGAGAGACACGUGCAUAAACUCAGAUAUGGACAGCUUUAAGGAACUAAGGUUGACUUUAUAAAGCCAACAAAGCCCCUUGGAAGAACUGGCCUGGUAACUUGCUUACAGGUUCCCAGCAGCCUUACCAGGUGGGUAAGAAAGGUCACUUCCUGGCAGGUUCAGGAACCUCAAGAUGUCUCGGGGACCCCGAGAAGAGGAGAAUUCACCCAAAUCUACAGGUACUGCAGGCAAAACCUGAUGGCAAGUCUGGCUUGGCUGUCUGGCCUCAAGAGGCCUUGAAAAGUUCAAUCUGAAAUUCCUUACAAAAAGUUCCAGCAAGGCACGUUUAAAAGAGCCUAUGUAAUCAAUUGCUCUUCUUGCUGCACUUAUGCAAAUAAUCAAGCCAACUGUUAAUUGUUUUCUUGAUCUGGCUAAUUCUAAUAAAAAUAAGGGUGAUUUUAGAGAAAAGUGUUUCCAUAAUGCUGUCUUAUCUAUACUAAAUCCUAAUAUCCAGAAUUCUAGUUUCCCCAUAAUACCUGAUUAUGAUUCUCAAAUAGAGUCUUCAUAUUUCUAGUUCUCAUAUUCAGCCAUGCAUUCUUAAUCUCAUCAAGUUUGUCCUUCCAGAAUAGAAAAUCCAACUCCAGAUGUUGCUACUUAACCUAAUAACACAAUUUGUUUUAUCUUGCCUAGAAGCCACAAAACUUCAAAUAGUCAUAGAAAUGAAACCCAGAAUAGAAGUGCCAACCUUCUGAGGCCCUCUCAACUGACCAGUGAUGGAGACCUAGCUGCACUCUUUACUGUGCCCCCUUCUCAGCACGAAGCAGCCAGAGCGGUCAUCGCCCCUUUUCCCUAGCAGCAGCUAGGGUCUCUAUCUGUAGAGGGGAGAAUGAGACAGGGACCAUAGUCUUAGACAGAAUAAGGUGAGAGCCUCUAGAGAAAGCAAGGCAGUAAUUUUGCAAGCUGAGCAAUUGACUUAGCAUGCAGAGCCAGCUGUAGAUGGCAUAGUAAAAGGCAGGAUUCUUUAGCAAAUAAGACAAUAUCUCAGCCCACCUUAGAGGCUGGGCACAGAGUCUUUUGAUGUGCGCCUGAACCAAGGCGCCUGUGUCCCAGAGAGAAAUCAAGGCAGGAAAUUAUCUUUAAUAUUCAAGGACCCCUUGCCAUCCUAGUCCUUUUACUAACCCUUGGGCCCUGUAUCAUCAACAGGCUGGUCCAGAUUGUCAGAGACUACAUGGGGGCCGUCCAACUCAUAGUCCUCCAUGCUCAAUACAAGCCCCUAGUAAUCUUGUUACUCCUGCUUACCUUUAGACCAUGUAUCCUCAAUAAACUGAUAACUUUAAUUAAAGAUAGAAUUAACAGUCCAGCUAAUGGUGCUAAGACAACAGUAUCAGCCUUUAUCUCCUUACAACUGCAAAACCUUAUUAGACCCAUGAUUGGGUCCCUUCUUAGGAUCCAGAGAAAGGGGGGUAUGAAAGGGCAAGCU
Manis pentadactyla (Chinese pangolin) is the source of this 2066-nucleotide long non-coding RNA. RefSeq lists it as uncharacterized. The transcript is spliced from 3 exons. Lineage: Eukaryota; Metazoa; Chordata; Mammalia; Pholidota; Manidae. The record is from RefSeq and is a predicted model, not a curated record.